Molecule: ribosomal RNA, 497 nt
Filed under: uncultured bacterium
Lineage: Bacteria
Description: partial 16S ribosomal RNA
Rfam family: Bacterial small subunit ribosomal RNA
Source: RNAcentral
GAUGAACGCUGGCGGCGUGCCUAAUACAUGCAAGUCGAGCGAACAGACGAGGAGCUUGCUCCUCUGACGUUAGCGGCGGACGGGUGAGUAACACGUGGAUAACCUACCUAUAAGACUGGGAUAACUUCGGGAAACCGGAGCUAAUACCGGAUAAUAUAUUGAACCGCAUGUUUCAAUAGUGAAAGACGGUUUUGCUGUCACUUAUAGAUGGAUCCGCGCCGCAUUAGCUAGUUGGUAAGGUAACGGCUUACCAAGGCGACGAUGCGUAGCCGACCUGAGAGGGUGAUCGGCCACACUGGAACUGAGACACGGUCCAGACUCCUACGGGAGGCAGCAGUAGGGAAUCUUCCGCAAUGGGCGAAAGCCUGACGGAGCAACGCCGCGUGAGUGAUGAAGGUCUUCGGAUCGUAAAACUCUGUUAUUAGGGAAGAACAAAUGUGUAAGUAACUAUGCACGUCUUGACGGUACCUAAUCAGAAAGCCACGGCUAACUACGUG